GGUUCGGGCGCCCCCCCUUGGGACGGGGGGCAUGAAUGGGACCGAUCCGCCCCUUCGCAUGCGGCGCUGCGCGUUCCCCGACGCGCAUGCAC
Molecule: non-coding RNA, 92 nt
Submitted as: unclassified sequences
Source: Rfam